This 535-nucleotide ribosomal RNA is filed under the name uncultured bacterium. RNAcentral's name for it is "partial 16S ribosomal RNA". It matches the Rfam family "Bacterial small subunit ribosomal RNA", at positions 356 to 881 of the family's 1533-position model. The record is from RNAcentral.
AGGGAAUCUUCCACAAUGGACGAAAGUCUGAUGGAGCAACGCCGCGUGAGUGAUGAAGGGUUUCGGCUCGUAAAACUCUGUUGUUGGAGAAGAACAGGUGUGAGAGUAACUGUUCACAUCUUGACGGUAUCCAACCAGAAAGCCACGGCUAACUACGUGCCAGCAGCCGCGGUAAUACGUAGGUGGCAAGCGUUGUCCGGAUUUAUUGGGCGUAAAGCGAGCGCAGGCGGUUUUCUUAGGUCUGAUGUGAAAGCCUUCGGCUUAACCGGAGAAGUGCAUCGGAAACCAGGAGACUUGAGUACAGAAGAGGACAGUGGAACUCCAUGUGUAGCGGUGAAAUGCGUAGAUAUAUGGAAGAACACCAGUGGCGAAGGCGGCUGUCUGGUCUGUAACUGACGCUGAGGCUCGAAAGCAUGGGUAGCGAACAGGAUUAGAUACCCUGGUAGCCCAUGCCGUAAACGAUGAGUGCUAAGUGUUGGAGGGUUUCCGCCCUUCAGUGCUGCAGCUAACGCAUUAAGCNCUCCGCCUGGGGGAG